UAUCUACUCCCUCCUUCCGGAAACACUCGUCGAAGAAAUGCAUAAAAAUGAAUAUAUCUAGAACUAAAAUACGUCUAGAUACAUCUAUUCCUUUGACGAGUAUUUCCGGACCGAGAGAGUACAAG
Molecule: non-coding RNA, 125 nt
Organism: Triticum aestivum (bread wheat)
Lineage: Eukaryota; Viridiplantae; Streptophyta; Magnoliopsida; Poales; Poaceae
Source: Rfam